This 171-nucleotide non-coding RNA is filed under the name Clostridium carboxidivorans. RNAcentral's name for it is "Lysine sequence". It matches the Rfam family "Lysine riboswitch aptamer". From Rfam's summary of the family: Riboswitches are metabolite binding domains within certain messenger RNAs that serve as precision sensors for their corresponding targets. The record is from RNAcentral. Lineage: Bacteria; Bacillati; Bacillota; Clostridia; Eubacteriales; Clostridiaceae.
AAUAUGGUACAGAGGUUGCGGUUGUCAUAAGUAAUGUAUAUUUAAAAUACAAGAAAGGGUCAUCCGCCGAAGUUUACAAGCUUUAAUGUUUGUAUACUGGGACUAUGCUGAACAAGUAUAGUACUGUCUUUAGGAAAUUGCCCGAUUUUUUAAAGAAGUGCUUAUCAUAUU